This 1466-nucleotide ribosomal RNA is filed under the name uncultured prokaryote. RNAcentral describes it as "partial 16S ribosomal RNA". It matches the Rfam family "Bacterial small subunit ribosomal RNA". The record is from RNAcentral.
AUUGAACGCUGGCGGCAGGCCUUACACAUGCAAGUCGAGCGGAAACGAUGGUAGCUUGCUACCAGGCGUCGAGCGGCGGACGGGUGAGUAACGCGUAGGAAUUUGCCCAGUGGUGGGGGAUAGCCCGGAGAAAUCCGGAUUAAUACCGCAUACGCCCUACGGGGGAAAGCAGGGGAUCUUCGGACCUUGCGCCAUUGGAUAAGCCUGCGUGAGAUUAGAUUGUUGGUGGGGUAAUGGCCUACCAAGUCGACGAUCUCUAGCUGGUCUGAGAGGAUGAUCAGCCACACUGGAACUGAGACACGGUCCAGACUCCUACGGGAGGCAGCAGUGGGGAAUAUUGCACAAUGGAGGAAACUCUGAUGCAGCCAUGCCGCGUGUGUGAAGAAGGCUUUCGGGUUGUAAAGCACUUUCAGUGGGGAGGAAAGGUUGCUGUUUAAUAGACAGUAGCUGUGACGUUACCCACAGAAGAAGCACCGGCUAACUCCGUGCCAGCAGCCGCGGUAAUACGGAGGGUGCGAGCGUUAAUCGGAAUUACUGGGCGUAAAGCGCGCGUAGGUGGUUAAUUAAGUCAGAUGUGAAAGCCCAGGGCUCAACCUUGGAACUGCAUUUGAAACUGGUUAACUAGAGUUUUGUAGAGGGUGGUAGAAUUUCAGGUGUAGCGGUGAAAUGCGUAGAGAUCUGAAGGAAUACCAGUGGCGAAGGCGGCCACCUGGACAAAGACUGACACUGAGGCGCGAAGGCGUGGGGAGCAAACGGGAUUAGAUACCCCGGUAGUCCACGCAGUAAACGAUGUCUAUUAGAAGUUUGUGGCUAUAUGCCGUGGGUUUCAAAGCUAACGCAUUAAAUAGACCGCCUGGGGAGUACGGCCGCAAGGUUAAAACUCAAAUGAAUUGACGGGGGCCCGCACAAGCGGUGGAGCAUGUGGUUUAAUUCGAUGCAAUGCGAAGAACCUUACCAGGUCUUGACAUCCCGAGAAUUUACUAGAGAUAGUUUAGUGCCUUCGGGAACUCGGUGACAGGUGCUGCAUGGCUGUCGUCAGCUCGUGUUGUGAGAUGUUGGGUUAAGUCCCGUAACGAGCGUAACCCUUGUCCUUAGUUGCCAGCAUGUAAUGGUGGGAACUCUAAGGAGACUGCCGGUGAUAAACCGGAGGAAGGUGGGGACGACGUCAAGUCAUCAUGGCCCUUACGACCUGGGCUACACACGUGCUACAAUGGUCGGUACAGAGGGUUGCCAAGCCGCGAGGUGGAGCUAAUCCCAGAAAACCGAUCGUAGUCCGGAUUGGAGUCUGCAACUCGACUCCAUGAAGUCGGAAUCGCUAGUAAUCGCGAAUCAGAAUGUCGCGGUGAAUACGUUCCCGGGCCUUGUAUAUACCGCCCGUCACACCAUGGGAGUGGGUUGCAAAAGAAGUGGGUAGACUACCCUUCCGGAGGUCGCUCACCACUUUGUGAUUUAUGACUGGGGUGAAG